UACAUGCAAGUCAACUGAAGCACCGGUAGUAAUACUGGUGUGGAGGUGGCGCACGGGUGAGUAACACGUAGGUAAUCUGCCUUCAGGUCUGACAUAACCCCGAGAAAUCGGGGCUAAUAGCAGAUGAUGCAGCGGCUUGACAUCAAGACAGUUGUUAAAGCUUCGGCGCCUGAAGAUGAGCCUGCGUCUGAUUAGCUAGUUGGCGGAGUAAUGGCCCACCAAGGCUACGAUCAGUAACUGGUCUGAGAGGAUGAUCAGUCACACUGGAACUGAGACACGGUCCAGACUCCUACGGGAGGCAGCAGUAAGGAAUAUUGCUCAAUGGGAGAAAUCCUGAAGCAGCAACGCCGCGUGAGGGAUGAAGGGCUUUUGCUCGUAAACCUCUGUAGUGAGGGAAAAAAUUUCCACUCUGUGGAAUAUGAUGGUACCUCAAAAGUAAGCCCCGGCUAACUACGUG
RNAcentral lists this ribosomal RNA (457 nucleotides) under uncultured bacterium. RNAcentral describes it as "bacterial SSU rRNA". It matches the Rfam family "Bacterial small subunit ribosomal RNA", at positions 52 to 507 of the family's 1533-position model. The record is from RNAcentral.